RNAcentral lists this ribosomal RNA (471 nucleotides) under uncultured bacterium. RNAcentral's name for it is "bacterial SSU rRNA". It matches the Rfam family "Bacterial small subunit ribosomal RNA", at positions 34 to 518 of the family's 1533-position model. The record is from RNAcentral.
CGCUGGCGGCGUGCCUAACACAUGCAAGUCGAACGGACUGAUUCCUUCGGGAAUGAAAGUUAGUGGCGGACGGGUGAGUAACGCGUGAGCAACCUGCCUUUCAGAGGGGAAUAACGUUUGGAAACAGACGCUAAUACCGCAUAACGCAUAGGUGUCGCAUGGCAUUUAUGCCAAAGGAGCAAUCCGCUGAAAGAUGGGCUCGCGUCCGAUUAGAUAGUUGGUGGGGUAACGGCCUACCAAGUCGACGAUCGGUAGCCGGACUGAGAGGUUGAACGGCCACAUUGGGACUGAGACACGGCCCAGACUCCUACGGGAGGCAGCAGUGGGGGAUAUUGCACAAUGGGCGAAAGCCUGAUGCAGCAACGCCGCGUGAGGGAUGACGGUUUUCGGAUUGUAAACCUCUGUCUUUGGUGACGAACAAAUGACGGUAGCCGAGGAGGAAGCCACGGCUAACUACGUGCCAGCCGCUGC